ACUUUGAUCAUGGCUCAGGAUGAACGCUAGCUACAGGCCUAACACAUGCAAGUCGAGGGGAAACGGCAGCUUAGCUUGCUAAGCUGGACGUCGACCGGCGCACGGGUGAGUAACGCGUAUCCAACCUGCCCCACGGUGAGGGAUAGCCCGCGGAAACGCGGCCUAAUACCUCAUGGUCUCCGAGUUUGCCAUCAACCUUGGAGUAAAGAUUCAUUGCCGUGGGAUGGGGAUGCGUCUGAUUAGCUUGUUGGCGGGGCAACGGCCCACCAAGGCAACGAUCAGUAGGGGUUCUGAGAGGAAAGCCCCCCACAUUGGAACUGAGACACGGUCCAAACUCCUACGGGAGGCAGCAGUGAGGAAUAUUGGUCAAUGGGCGAGAGCCUGAACCAGCCAAGUAGCGUGCAGGAUGACGGCCCUAUGGGUUGUAAACUGCUUUUAUGCGGGGAUAAAGCGGGCGACGUGUCGCCCUUUGCAUGUACCUUAUGAAUAAGGACCGGCUAAUUCCGUGCCAGCAGCCGCGGUAAUACGGAAGGUCCGGGCGUUAUCCGGAUUUAUUGGGUUUAAAGGGAGCGUAGGCCGGAGAUUAAGCGUGUUGUGAAAUGUAGAUGCUCAACAUCUGCACUGCAGCGCGAACUGGUUUCCUUGAGUACGCACAAAGUGGGCGGAAUUCGUGGUGUAGCGGUGAAAUGCUUAGAUAUCACGAAGAACUCCGAUUGCGAAGGCAGCUCACUGGAGCGCAACUGACGCUGAAGCUCGAAAGUGCGGGUAUCGAACAGGAUUAGAUACCCUGGUAGUCCGCACGGUAAAUGAUGGAUGCCCGCUGUUGGUCUGAAUAGGUCAGCGGCCAAGCGAAAGCAUUAAGCAUCCCACCUGGGGAGUACGCCGGCAAGGGUGCAACUCAAAUGAAUUGACGG
RNAcentral lists this ribosomal RNA (914 nucleotides) under uncultured Bacteroidota bacterium. RNAcentral describes it as "bacterial SSU rRNA". It matches the Rfam family "Bacterial small subunit ribosomal RNA", at positions 10 to 916 of the family's 1533-position model. The record is from RNAcentral. Lineage: Bacteria; Pseudomonadati; Bacteroidota.